GGGGCUGACCUGGUUUCGACGGGAGCGGGCCGCUUUUGGUUGCAUGUCGGGCUGAGCACUCCCGUUACGCGGCUCAUUAUGCUUAAAUGCAAACAACACAAAUUAUCGCCCAGCUUUAGCAGUAGCUUAAGUUUUAACCCCUCGUAAGAGGUGGGCUGCUUCACUUGCGGAUUCUAAAUAAGCAAGAUUCUGAAGUAUAACCCUUUAUUUAGAUAUAUUUUAUGUGUGUCUCGGCAUAAAAUGAACUUUUGAGGCUCGUCUGCCCUAGCUUUGCAGGUUGUGUGAAAGCAGAUUAAACCAAACAACCUCUCUAAACAUGUAGACGCCGGAAGUAACCCGUUUUCGGACUGGAGUUCGAUUCUCCACAGCUCCACCA
This 376-nucleotide transfer-messenger RNA is filed under the name Helicobacteraceae bacterium 4484_230. It matches the Rfam family "transfer-messenger RNA". From Rfam's summary of the family: Bacterial tmRNA, also known as 10Sa RNA or SsrA, is named for its dual tRNA and mRNA-like properties. Its role is to liberate the mRNA from a stalled ribosome. To accomplish this part of the tmRNA is used as a reading frame that ends in a translation stop signal. RNAcentral also lists the same sequence under 2 other names. Lineage: Bacteria; Pseudomonadati; Campylobacterota; Epsilonproteobacteria; Campylobacterales; Helicobacteraceae. The record is from RNAcentral.